UUACAAGUAAAUCCCUUCCAGAAAGGAGACCUCUCACGAGGCACUUCACCGCCAUGUGUAGUGGAGUAUCGUUACGAGUAUGGAAGGUAUUGUAA
Molecule: non-coding RNA, 95 nt
Filed under: unclassified sequences
Description: DUF3800-X RNA
Rfam family: DUF3800-X RNA
Source: Rfam by way of RNAcentral